AGUGAACGCUGGCGGUAGGUCUAACACAUGCAAGUCGAACGGCAGCACAGUAAGAGCUUGCUCUUACGGGUGGCGCGUGGCGGACGGGUGAGGAAUCCAUCGGAAUCUACUUUUUCGUGGGGGAUAACGUAGGGAAACUUACGCUAAUACCGCAUACGACCUACGGGUGAAAGCAGGGGAUCUUCGGACCUUGCGCGAUUGAAUGAGCCGAUGUCGGAUUAGCUAGUUGGCGGGGUAAAGGCCCACCAAGGCGACGAUCCGUAGCUGGUCUGAGAGGAUGAUCAGCCACACUGGAACUGAGACACGGUCCAGACUCCUACGGGAGGCAGCAGUGGGGAAUAGUGGACAAUGGGCGCAAGCCUGAUCCAGCCAUACCGCGUGGGUGAAGAAGGCCUUCGGGUUGUAAAGCCCUUUUGUUGGGAAAGAAAAGCAGCAGGUUAAUACCCCGCUGUUCUGACGGUACCCAAAGAAUAAGCACCGGCUAACUUCGUG
This 492-nucleotide ribosomal RNA is filed under the name uncultured bacterium. Its description in RNAcentral is "partial 16S ribosomal RNA". It matches the Rfam family "Bacterial small subunit ribosomal RNA", at positions 29 to 507 of the family's 1533-position model. The record is from RNAcentral.